This 1288-nucleotide ribosomal RNA is filed under the name Microbacterium sp. RNAcentral's name for it is "bacterial SSU rRNA". It matches the Rfam family "Bacterial small subunit ribosomal RNA", at positions 186 to 1488 of the family's 1533-position model. The record is from RNAcentral. Lineage: Bacteria; Bacillati; Actinomycetota; Actinomycetes; Micrococcales; Microbacteriaceae.
GCAUCGUCUUUUUCUGGAAAGAAUUUCGAUUGGGGAUGGGCUCGCGGCCUAUCAGUAUGUUGGUGAGGUAAUGGCUCCCCAAGGCGUCGACGGGUAGCCGGCCUGAGAGGGUGACCGGCCUCUUUGGGAGUGAGACACGGCCCAGACUCUUCCGGGAGGCAGCAGUGUGGAAUAUUGCACAAUGGGCGCAAGCCUGAUGCAGCAACCCUGCGUGAGGGACGACGGCCUUCGGGUUGUAAACCUCUUUUAGCAGGGAAGAAGCGAAAGUGACGGUACCUGCAGAAAAAGCGCCGGCUAACUACGUGCCAGCAGCCGCGGUAAUAGUAGGGCGCAAGCGUUAUCCGGAAUUAUUGGGCGUAAAGAGCUCGUAGGCGGUUUGUCGCGUCUGCUGUGAAAUCCGGAGGCUCAACCUCCGGCCUGCAGUGGGUACGGGCAGACUAGAGUGCGGUAGGGGAGAUUGGAAUUCCUGGUGUAGCGGUGGAAUGCGCAGAUAUCAGGAGGAACACCGAUGGCGAAGGCAGAUCUCUGGGCCGUAACUGACGCUGAGGAGCGAAAGGGUGGGGAGCAAACAGGCUUAGAUACCCUGGUAGUCCACCCCGUAAACGUUGGGAACUAGUUGUGGGGUCCAUUCCACGGAUUCCGUGACGCAGCUAACGCAUUAAGUUCCCCGCCUGGGGAGUACGGCCGCAAGGCUAAAACUCAAAGGAAUUGACGGGGACCCGCACAAGCGGCGGAGCAUGCGGAUUAAUUCGAUGCAACGCGAAGAACCUUACCAAGGCUUGACAUAUACGAGAACGGGCCAGAAAUGGUCAACUCUUUGGACACUCGUAAACAGGUGGUGCAUGGUUGUCGUCAGCUCGUGUCGUGAGAUGUUGGGUUAAGUCCCGCAACGAGCGCAACCCUCGUUCUAUGUUGCCAGCACGUAAUGGUGGGAACUCAUGGGAUACUGCCGGGGUCAACUCGGAGGAAGGUGGGGAUGACGUCAAAUCAUCAUGCCCCUUAUGUCUUGGGCUUCACGCAUGCUACAAUGGCCGGUACAAAGGGCUGCAAUACCGCGAGGUGGAGCGAAUCCCAAAAAGCCGGUCCCAGUUCGGAUUGAGGUCUGCAACUCGACCUCAUGAAGUCGGAGUCGCUAGUAAUCGCAGAUCAGCAACGCUGCGGUGAAUACGUUCCCGGGUCUUGUACACACCGCCCGUCAAGUCAUGAAAGUCGGUAACACCUGAAGCCGGUGGCCUAACCCUUGUGGAGGGAGCCGUCGAAGGUGGGAUCGGUAAUUAGGACUAAUCUA